RNAcentral lists this unclassified non-coding RNA (520 nucleotides) under uncultured Glomus. RNAcentral describes it as "SSU rRNA". It matches the Rfam family "Eukaryotic small subunit ribosomal RNA", at positions 569 to 1093 of the family's 1831-position model. Lineage: Eukaryota; Fungi; Glomeromycota; Glomeromycetes; Glomerales; Glomeraceae. The record is from RNAcentral.
AGCAGCCGCGGUAAUUCCAGCUCCAAUAGCGUAUAUUAAAGUUGUUGCAGUUAAAAAGCUCGUAGUUGAAUUUCGGGAUCAAUACGUCGGUCGUGCUUCGGUACGUACUGGCGUAAUUGAUUUCUCCCUUCUGACGAACCAUGAUGUCAUUAACUUGGUGUCAUGGGAAAUCAGGACUGUUACUUUGAAAAAUUAGAGUGUUUAAAGCAGGCUCACGCUUGAAUACAUUAGCAUGGAAUAAUGAAAUAGGACGUUCGAUCCUAUUUUGUUGGUUUUUAGGAUCAACGUAAUGAUUAAUAGGGAUAGUUGGGGGCAUUAGUAUUCAAUUGUCAGAGGUGAAAUUCUUGGAUUUAUUGAAGACUAACUACUGCGAAAGCAUUUGCCAAGGAUGUUUUCAUUAAUCAAGAACGAAAGUUAGGGGAUCGAAGACGAUCAGAUACCGUCGUAGUCUUAACCAUAAACUAUGCCGACUAGGGAUCGGAUGAUGUUAAUUUUUAAUGACUCAUUCGGCGCCUUAACC